CACAAAUUCUAGAUGCCUCAGACUCCCUGAACUCCAAACUCCAUCUCCUCUACUUGGCAAGACCACCUGGCUCUGUCCUAUGGUUUGCAAACCCUGCAGGCGGUGAGCUGGGGCACUCAUCAGUUUCACCUGGUUUAUUUCUGGUCUCUCAGAGAUCACUGUCCUGCACUGCCCGUUGUCCAAGGCCUCAUAUUUUCUUGGAUUCUUUAAAGUGAAAGAAUACACCUGGUUGCUGUUAUUCUAAUAUGGCCAGAAACAGAAUAUCAUAGGCCAGGGUCAGGGGAGGGGCAGCCAAAAUGGUGGCAUGACGGGGCAAGACUGGUUCUGAGGCAGGGCCAGGGGAGCAGGCCUGUCAGUGGACUCUGAUUUGUGAGCCUGGACUGGAUCAUGGGACAGGAAGCCAAAAGGGGCAGAUUUUUCUUAGAAAGGCUUAGGAAGGAGUCCACUAAAUUCCAUGCACUGUGAAACAGCUGCUCUGGAGGUGUGUUGUUGACUUAGUUCAAUCAACAUGACUGCAUUCCCCCUGUCAAGUGCCAGGCUCCCUGUUUCUGAGAGUCUUAGCUCAGCUGAGUAGUUAGAAAGGAAGGAUAGCCCAUGUACCAGUCAUCCAGGCAGUGGCAGUGUCACCCUGGCUCCUUAUGGGCACUUUGAGAUCAGUGCUCCUCCCUCCUCCCUAAAUCCUCCUGCUUCUUUGAAGCACGUAUUGUCAGAACACAGUUCCUGCCCCAUUUCCUUGUUGCAUCAUCUACAGAUCUUCUGGUCGCUUCCUUUCCUCCACUGAUGACUUUAGCACCUGUCUUCAUCCUUGAUACCCCUGCAGGUCAAUGCUUCCCCAUCUUUUUCAGGUUGUAUCACAUAUAGAAAAGAAUCAAAUAUGUCUAGCACCCCGAGGUAAACCAGAGGGGAUCUCAUGAUCUUCACAUGAACCUUAGUGUCUUAGACAAAGGGGGCAGUGGUAGUUUUGUUCUAUUUUGGUUUGUUUUUGAAACGGGUGAUAGAAAAGCAUGCUUUUGUGCUGACAGGAAAGAUCUAGGAGAGAGGGAGAAAUUGAUGCUGCCAGAAAGAGGGGACAGUUACAGAAGCGAAGACCUUGAGAAGGAGAUGAUGAGACCCAGGAUGCAACACAGAAGGCUUGGACUUAGAUAAGGGCACCAAGGUCCCUCGACAGUGCCUGGAGGGAAGAUUCCUGGAUAUCACGUGAGAAGAGAGGAGGUCUUGCUGUGCUGCCCGGCUGGUCUCGAAUUCCUGGGCUCAAGUGAUCCUCCCACCUCAGCCUCCCAAAGUGCUGGGAUUAUGGAUGUGAGCCACCACACCUGGCCAUAGAGAGCCUUUGGUAAACACAUAAAAUUAGAUCCACAUACAAGAACAAACUCCAAAUGCAUCAGCAAUCUAAAAGUAAAAGAUGA
Molecule: long non-coding RNA, 1406 nt
Filed under: Homo sapiens (human)
Lineage: Eukaryota; Metazoa; Chordata; Mammalia; Primates; Hominidae
Description: PREDICTED lncRNA (TCONS_00092021)
Source: RNAcentral